ACGAGACUAGGAGAGGCGGUGCCGCGGGGAGGCGUGUCCGGCGUCGCUGCGGUGUCCGUCGCCUCGCAGACUUUACCGCCAGAGAUGUAGGCUCCUUGUGCGUCCGUGGUCCUUAAUUGGAAGCCACUCCCGAGUAUUAGGAAGGGAGGGAGAGACUUAUUUGCGUUCCCAUUGUUUGUGGCUCACUUAGGAGACCCUGGAGCCGCAAACUCUCGGUUAUUCCAGCCCAGCAUGGCCUACAGAGUGAGACCCUGUCUCAAAAAAAAAAAAAAAAAGAGAGGGCUGAAAAGAUGGCUCAGCACCUGCUGCUCUUCCAGAGGACCCAGUCGUAUGACAUCUACACUUCUUACAAUUUCCUCAUAUGAAAUGCACCACGAUCCUCUCAGUCAAGAAAAAUCUUGGGCUUCCUCGUCAGCCCCCAGCCUCUAGACAUCUUGCUGAAUCUCUGGAAUCGCUCUUCUUUCCCUCAGAGUUCCUCUUUAACAUUCUGUUUUAUAAAUCCGGCACGUGAGAUUUUAAUGGCUCUGUUGCAGCUUUCUCUUCUUCAGUCAGUAGAGUUAGCUAGAAAAACAAAGGACAAAAUGUUUAUUUCGAAACCUUCAAAGGAUGUUAAAUGAGUUAAAUUUUGCUUCAUUGCACAAAUUUUUUUAUAAUCUUAUACUACAUAUUUAGUCUUGAAACUUGAAAGGCAAGGGAAAACAAUAGCUAUC
Molecule: long non-coding RNA, 710 nt
Filed under: Mus pahari (shrew mouse)
Lineage: Eukaryota; Metazoa; Chordata; Mammalia; Rodentia; Muridae
Description: lncRNA (MGP_PahariEiJ_G0002590.1)
Source: RNAcentral